CCAUCAGAGAGCUCAUUCUGCCUGGGCUGGACUUUGGGAUAUAUCAAGCCAUUUGCGUAACUGUCCAGAGGCUUCACAAAGAGCUUCACCCAGGGCAUGGGCAUGGACACUUGAAUGAGGCACGAGGGUGAGUGGACGGCAGUGUGAGCCCUGAGUUGGUCAGUGGAUUGUGUUAGUGUGCUUUGCCUGUUGGGCAG
Molecule: long non-coding RNA, 197 nt
Organism: Cygnus olor (mute swan)
Lineage: Eukaryota; Metazoa; Chordata; Aves; Anseriformes; Anatidae
Exons: 3
Source: RefSeq, a predicted model, not a curated record